Long non-coding RNA from Girardinichthys multiradiatus, 798 nucleotides. RefSeq lists it as uncharacterized. The transcript is spliced from 2 exons. Lineage: Eukaryota; Metazoa; Chordata; Actinopteri; Cyprinodontiformes; Goodeidae. The record is from RefSeq and is a predicted model, not a curated record.
GCUUCAGGUAGUAUGGCAGUGUCUCCUGUGUGUGUAUGUCGCGUGCGUGACGUCAUUACUCAGCGCCAGCAGUUGGUUCCGGUUCGUAAAGGACAAGACAACGAGGCAUAUCAGUGGAAAAUGUCUUAAAUUGGUAAGGAGACCUAAAUAUACUCUUUGGAGUUAGUAGACAACGCUGUGAUAAGCCUUAUACUUAAAGAUUUAUAGUCGAUUUACUCAGUAGGAACGGAGAUUGCUGUAGAUUGACGCCUUACGGUCAGGAAGGAGUUCCUCCUAUUGAAACGUGCAGGGCUACAUGAAGGCAGGGGAGAUAGACUGUCCAGGGUUCCUGGUGCGAGUGUCCGCUCCAGUCUGGGCAGGCUGUCAGCCAUUUUCAAGUGAGUUCAAGUUGCUAAUGUAGAAAACAAUGUAAAACAGAAUGUACUGUGGUUUUGCACAAAUGUAAGUUGAAUGACUAUUAAGUGGUGUUUUGUUUUGUUUUAUUAUAGUACCACUAUUAGGCCACUACUGUUGUCUUUGGUAGAUUUUAUUUUAUUUUUGUCUCUUAUCUGGGUUUUUAUUUUUUAUUUCCAAAGAAGCCUUGAAUAGGUCUGUGAAGCGGUGUUAAAAGCUAAUUUUCUGAUCCUGACAAAAGAGAAACUGUAGUUUUUGAUUUGAGAUGAACGCACUACUUGAAUGUUUGUUUGUUUUUUAAAUAGUUGUUUGCAACACAUUUACAAAAUGCCAAAUCAAACCAAACUUAAUGCUGUCCCCAUUCUGAGGAUGGUCGGGAAAUAAAACCCACAUUAUAUUUUGGGA